This 459-nucleotide ribosomal RNA is filed under the name uncultured bacterium. RNAcentral describes it as "bacterial SSU rRNA". It matches the Rfam family "Bacterial small subunit ribosomal RNA", at positions 343 to 794 of the family's 1533-position model. The record is from RNAcentral.
AGGAGGCAGCAGUGGGGAAUUUUGGACAAUGGGCGCAAGCCUGAUCCAGCCAUUCCGCGUGCGGGAAGAAGGCCUUCGGGUUGUAAACCGCUUUCGGCAGGGAAGAAACGGUGGGGGCUAAUACCUCCUGCUAAUGACGGUACCUGAAGAAGAAGCACCGGCUAACUACGUGCCAGCAGCCGCGGUAAUACGUAGGGUGCGAGCGUUAAUCGGAAUUACUGGGCGUAAAGCGUGCGCAGGCGGUUUUGUAAGACAGAUGUGAAAUCCCCGGGCUUAACCUGGGAACUGCGUUUGUGACUGCAAGACUUGAGUGCGGCAGAGGGGGGUGGAAUUCCACGUGUAGCAGUGAAAUGCGUAGAGAUGUGGAGGAACACCGAUGGCGAAGGCAGCCCCCUGGGUCGACACUGACGCUCAUGCACGAAAGCGUGGGGAGCAAACAGGAUUAGAUACCCUGGUAGU